AUGGCUGCGGGCCUGAGGGGCGGUGUGCCCCACGGGGAGCGUUUCAGCCAGAGGUGGGAGCUGAGGAUGACCGUAUGCACCCUCCCUUUCUGUUCCACGUCACCGCAYGGAGACCCCACACCAGUGGCGGCCCCGGCAGCUCUGGAGCUGCGCGAGGGGCUGGGCCGCGAGGCCGAACCCGCUUCCUUGCACUGUAGCACACCACAAUGCGGGGAGCACGGCGAGACAACAGCGGGAGAUGGGGGCAGCGGGUUUCUGCCCCCACCAGCACCUGAGCCAAGGCGCCCGCCGCCCCCUCUCCUCCAACACGGUCUCUCCCAAGCCCCUGGGACAUGGAUGUCACCGUCACGAUGGCCACAGCCAGCCGGCCACGAAGAGCCGGGGCCGGCAUCCCCUCCUCCCUCGUCAGGGAGGGCAGAGUGGGCUUGGCCUUCGCCUGGCGCUCACGGGUGGGAGGCAAACCCGCCGCUCCGUCCUCACCCCCAGCCCUCAGCUAACGACUGCAGCGGCAGUAAAAUUAGCAGCGUGGCAAAGUUCAGAGCUCCACUCAUAAAUUUCAUUCCUGAAGAGGCCAAGCAUGAGGUGGGCGGCCAUAAAUCCUGCGGGAGCAGCGCCAGGCCUGGUGGAGGCCUGGGCUCUGCGGGAGCGGCCGUGGGGGAGCCCCCGCCAUGGGGACUGGCGCGCCAAGGGCCUCCACGGGGUAUUUAUUUACUUUGGCUGGCGAACGUGUGCGAAAUGGCCCAGGCUGCCUCGACCGGGCCGUCAGGAGGAAUCCCGAGGAGCAGGGACCUGCUGGGGAACUGGCACCCCAGAGAAGGGUUUACGCCUCUCACCGAACCCUCAAAGCAAUUCCCGGUCCCCGGUGGGAGGGCUGGGCAGCAGGGGGACCUGCCGGGCCCCGUGGCAGCCUCCAGCCAGCUCCGCGGCUCAUGCGAGCCGACGCGUCCAUGGCCGCCUGUCUCCUCCCGCUGCGUGAAGGGGCAGCAGUCUGGGGGAAAACAUUUGGGGGGCUGGUCUCACACGCUGGAGCUUGCUGCUGCCCCCAUAGCACACGGCCCAGUGUCUGAGGGGUUGCUGGCUCCGCGAUGGGGGGGCCUGUCUUUCUCCACUGAAUGA
Molecule: long non-coding RNA, 1116 nt
Filed under: Apteryx haastii (Great spotted kiwi)
Lineage: Eukaryota; Metazoa; Chordata; Aves; Apterygiformes; Apterygidae
Description: lncRNA (ENSAHAG00000002670.1)
Source: RNAcentral